Molecule: long non-coding RNA, 872 nt
Organism: Lotus japonicus
Lineage: Eukaryota; Viridiplantae; Streptophyta; Magnoliopsida; Fabales; Fabaceae
Exons: 3
Source: RefSeq, a predicted model, not a curated record
UUAACCAAUCCAUUCACUUAUGCUCUCUCAAAAAACGCUAACAGAGUGAGAAACCUCUCGACUCUCACAUGGUCGCCGCCCUCACCUUCUCCACCGUUGUCCUUCCCUUCGCGUGUCUGACUCCGCCCUCUCCUUCUCCAUCGUUGGCCUUCCCUCCUCUCAUCUCACCUACCCUCCGCUCGCAAACCAUCACUCGCUUCCAGCAAAUACGUGAACCCUCCUCCUCGAUCGUCAGUCUCCGAAAACGAAGAUUUCUCAGUUUCUGGUUACACGAAGUCUCAAGGUAGAACUCCUGUCACGUUUGGACCAACUGAUAUCCUUUGCUGUAGAACGCUACAAGGUCAUACCGGAAAGCAUGCCUAGGAAGCAAUUGAUAGUUUGGAGAUCUUCUGUUAUGGUGUAGAUCUUGUUUUCGAGGAUGUGUUAUUGUCCUCGUUUGUAGUUGCUGCCUGUUGGGCUGGAGUUUUUUUGUACAGUUUGGUAGUCUAGUACUGGUAUUGGUUUUGAAGCUAGGUAGUUUCUCCUGAGAUGGUUUAAGUUACUAUAUCAUAGCCUAGCUUAGGUUACUGCAGAAAUCUUAUAGGUCCAAACUUUGCUGCACAAACUCAAAGUGGUUACCACAUUCCCCAUUGUCUUCUGUGAGAAUUCCAUUGCCAUUUAUUCAUACGUACAUCUUGAGUUGGGGUUUCUAUACGUUUGUAGUUGCUUAGUAUGAUUCUAAUUCUUGUUCACUUUCUAAUGUACAUGGACUAUGUUUUUGAUUUAUCCUAACUCUGGUCUAACUGCAAAAAAAAAAAAAAAUAUGUCGAUACACAAUUGUGACUUUGUUUUUUGUUCGCUUUUUCUAGUUGUCCUACUGCUGUAGUUUUCAG